This 253-nucleotide ribosomal RNA is filed under the name uncultured bacterium. Its description in RNAcentral is "partial 16S ribosomal RNA". It matches the Rfam family "Bacterial small subunit ribosomal RNA", at positions 524 to 777 of the family's 1533-position model. The record is from RNAcentral.
UACAGAGGUCCCAAGCGUUGUUCGGAUUCACUGGGCGUAAAGGGUGCGUAGGCGGUCGGGUAAGUCUGACGUGAAAUCUUCAAGCUUAACUUGGAACUGCGUCGGAUACUAUUCGGCUGGAGGAAUGGAGGGGAGACUGGAAUACUUGGUGUAGCAGUGAAAUGCGUAGAUAUCAAGUGGAACACCAGUGGCGAAGGCGAGUCUCUGGACAUUUCCUGACGCUGAGGCACGAAAGCCAGGGGAGCAAACGGGG